UACAUGGGGUGCAAACGUUGCUCGGAAUUAUUGGGCGUAAAGCGCGCGUAGGCGGUUACUUAAGUCGGAUGUGAAAGCCCUCGGCUUAACUGAGGAAGUGCACCCGAAACUGAGUAGCUAGAGUACGAAAGAGGGUCGCGGAGUUCCCGGUGUAGAGGUGAAAUGCGCAGAUAUCGGGAAGAACACCGGUGGCGAAGGCGGCUCUCUGGGCCUGUCCUGACGCUCAGGCGCGAAAGCUAGGGGAGCGAACAGG
Molecule: ribosomal RNA, 253 nt
Filed under: uncultured bacterium
Lineage: Bacteria
Description: partial 16S ribosomal RNA
Rfam family: Bacterial small subunit ribosomal RNA
Source: RNAcentral